AUGGGUGCGAGAAAUGCUACCAUCUGCUUUGUGCUGAUCCUUGUGUUAUUCGCGAAUCAUGGUUCUGCAGAAAAAAAGUGCUGGGGAAAUACCUCUGGGAGUCCACUCUGUGUAGGCUUCCUGUGCAAGGCAACAUGCUUGAUUGGAGGCAAAAUGUUUAAUGCCAUCGUAAAGGAACACAAGUGUAGAGGGCCAGCAUUGAACAGCGAAUGCUACUGCUAUUUCUGCGACAAAUAG
This 237-nucleotide ribosomal RNA is filed under the name Triticum aestivum (bread wheat). Its description in RNAcentral is "partial small subunit ribosomal RNA". Lineage: Eukaryota; Viridiplantae; Streptophyta; Magnoliopsida; Poales; Poaceae. The record is from RNAcentral.